AGAUGCCAUCUCAACAACAACAACAAAAAAACCAAACAUACUAAUACCACAUUAUUCUGGUCAAUCACUGUUAUACACGGCCUCCCUUUUUUUCCCGCUUUGUUUUCCCCUUUCUUGUCUCUGGCGCUUUCUCUUGUCACCUGGACGUCCACCUGAGGGGCCGUGACUUCUUUCCCAUAACCACUCCCUGCUCUGGUACAAGGCUCAGAACGUGGUGAGAAAGUCGCAGCAUUCCCCUCAACCUGAAGAUUUCCAUUGUAACAUCAUUAGGAGUAUGAAGGGAGCAAGAAACCCCAUAUAAUACUUAUAUUUAAUGUAAACUGGAGCUCAUUUUCGUAUUUCCCGAAAGAAAAGAAAAUUUUUAAAAACCUACUAAGUUAUUAACACCAAAGGAACUUAAGACUUGGUACUUUUCAAGUUACUACUAACUCAAAAUAAAUAACAGAUACCAAGGCACUGCAGAGACGAGUUUUUAGGUUUCAGAACCCUCCUUAGAACAUCCUUUUCCCAACUGUGUCUUAAAAUCCUAGGGUUUUGGUUUCCUCAUUCAUGAAAGAUGAGGGCUGGACUAAAUCUCUCCUGCUGCUCCCAAUCUGACAUUCUCCGAUGCUGACACGCAAUUUUCAUCCAUGCUUAGUUUUUAAAAAGAAGUGAUAACUGUUUUCCCUUUGCCGUACAUAAAUUUCGUUUACUAUGCUACACUGCACAUUCAGAUUUAUCUUGCUGCAGAAGGUGUGUCGUCCCACAGUGUGACAGCAUGGGGCAGUAAGGGCCUCGCUGAAGUGCGGAUACCACUGAGUGUAGAGCCUGGUAGCUAGGUUUGUUUUCUCCUUUUGAACUGGAGGCCCCUGGUGCAAACAUGCGCUGCCAGAUCUUGGGUCAGGCCAAGAAGCAUCUGAGUCUGAUCCCCCUCUUUGUGUCUGCUGGAGCUGGAGGCACUGGAGCAACACUGUAUGGCCUGCAUCUGGCACAGUUCAAUCCAGAUUUUACUAGGGACAGAAAGAAUAACUGGGUGCCCUAGAAGAAACUAGGUCACAGGGAUCAAUACAAGUUCUACUCAGUGAAUGUGGAUUACAGUAAACUGAAGAAAGAAGGUCCAGAUUUCUAAAUAAAAUGUUUCACUAUGAAGCUGCUUUAGAAAGAAGGUCUUGGCCAGGCACAGUGGCUCACGCCUGUAAUCCCAGCACUUUGGGAGGC
This is an RNA transcript of Nomascus leucogenys (northern white-cheeked gibbon), 1197 nucleotides long. It is a transcript of the gene named cytochrome c oxidase subunit NDUFA4 pseudogene, with no coding region annotated. The record is from RefSeq and is a predicted model, not a curated record. Lineage: Eukaryota; Metazoa; Chordata; Mammalia; Primates; Hylobatidae. The transcript has a single exon.